CCAAUAGCGUAUAUUAAAGUUGUUGCAGUUAAAAAGCUCGUAGUUGAAUUUCGGGGUUCAUACGUUGGUCGGGCUUUUUGGUCUGUACUAGCGUAAUGGAUUCCUACCUUCUGAAUAACCGGCAUGUCAUUAAUUUGGUGCGCCGGGGAAGCAGGACUGUUACCUUGAAAAAAUUAGAGUGCUUAAAGCAGGCUAUCGCCUAAAAACUUUAGCUUGGAAGAUGGAAAUAGGACGGCAUGGUUCUAUUUUGUUGGUUUCUAGGAUCACCGUAAUGAUUAAUAGGGAUAGUUGGGGGCAUUAGUAUUCAAUUGUCAGAGGUGAAAUUCUUGGAUUUAUUGAAGACUAACUUCUGCGAAAGCAUUUGCCAAGGAUGUUUUCAUUAAUCAAGAACGAAAGUUAGGGGAUCGAAGACGAUCAGAUACCGUCGUAGUCUUAACCAUAAACUAUGCCGACUAGGGAUCGGACGAUGUUAAUUUUUUAAUGACUCGUUCGGCGCCUUACG
This 502-nucleotide ribosomal RNA is filed under the name uncultured Glomeromycotina. RNAcentral describes it as "partial small subunit ribosomal RNA". It matches the Rfam family "Eukaryotic small subunit ribosomal RNA", at positions 591 to 1092 of the family's 1831-position model. The record is from RNAcentral. Lineage: Eukaryota; Fungi; Glomeromycota.